This 65-nucleotide transfer RNA is filed under the name Pericapritermes sp. A TB-2017. RNAcentral's name for it is "tRNA-His". Lineage: Eukaryota; Metazoa; Arthropoda; Insecta; Blattodea; Termitidae. RNAcentral also lists the same sequence under 1 other name. The record is from RNAcentral.
AUCUAAAUAGUUUAAGUUAAAAUGUUGGUUUGUGGUGCCGAUGAUAUAGUUUUUUAUUUUGGAUU